RNAcentral lists this long non-coding RNA (386 nucleotides) under Physcomitrium patens. RNAcentral's name for it is "long non-coding RNA (PPAT_LNC010515)". Lineage: Eukaryota; Viridiplantae; Streptophyta; Bryopsida; Funariales; Funariaceae. The record is from RNAcentral.
GAUGGGGAACCGCAUCGAGACGACGACGGAAGCACUUUGGAAAAGAAGUUAGUGUAGUCGGGAGUGGUGCCAUUCCUGGGAUUCAGCUGGAAAAGUGGUGCACACCGAAUUUGUUUUCUCGAUGAUCGAGCACUGUUGUCCACCGACUGAACUGGAGGUUUGGGGGACACAGCUGGGUGAGGCUGAUGGAUUCUUUUUUACUAUAUUAUUGGUAGGCAGCUACAGGUCUUUCGCUAAAACUCCUUCACUUUUACCGAUGCGCGACUGUAGUCUUCGGCGUCACUGCUACUGUCGGACUCUACGAGCCACCUACUUCGACUAUUAUAACACUGUUAUCCUUAUAAACCACAUAAGCAGAACCUUUAACAGAAUACGUUGUCCCCUCA